UUUCGUUAUUCACUAUUAUAAAAUAUACUUUUGCUAAUACCAUAUUACAACGACCGUUUAAUUAACUAUGACAAUGUCUCAUUUUUAGGCGCGUUUUUUUUUUUUUAUAUUUAUCAAAAGAUAUUUUAUUACGGUCAUUAUAAGCAAUGAUAUUUAAAUGUACAUGGAAUGACAGAGUUCGAAUUUUAGUACCAAUAAUUUUCUAUUUUUCUUUAUAAAG
Molecule: long non-coding RNA, 220 nt
Filed under: Lathyrus oleraceus (garden pea)
Lineage: Eukaryota; Viridiplantae; Streptophyta; Magnoliopsida; Fabales; Fabaceae
Description: Pisum sativum (pea) long non-coding RNA (PSAT_LNC016802)
Source: RNAcentral